CUUGGCCUACGGGGGGCAGCAGUGGGGAAUAUUGCACAAUGGGGGAAACCCUGAUGCAGCGACGCCGCGUGAGUGAAGAAGUAUUUCGGUAUGUAAAGCUCUGUCAGCAGGGAAGAAAAUGACGGUACCUGACCAAGAAGCCCCGGCUAACUACGUGCCAGCAGCCGCGGUAAUACGUAGGGGGCAAGCGUUAUCCGGAUUUACUGGGUGUAAAGGGUGCGUAGGCGGCUUGGCAAGUCAGUAGUGAAAUCCAUGGGCUUAACCCAUGAACUGCUAUUGAAACUGUCGAGCUUGAGUGAAGUAGA
Molecule: ribosomal RNA, 305 nt
Filed under: uncultured bacterium
Lineage: Bacteria
Description: bacterial SSU rRNA
Rfam family: Bacterial small subunit ribosomal RNA
Source: RNAcentral